RNAcentral lists this ribosomal RNA (261 nucleotides) under Giardia sp. 5762_B1. RNAcentral describes it as "partial small subunit ribosomal RNA". The record is from RNAcentral. Lineage: Eukaryota; Fornicata; Diplomonadida; Hexamitidae.
GCUCCGGAGCGCGACGCUCUCCCCAAGGACGAAGCCAUGCAUGCCCGCUCACCCGGGACGCGGCGGACGGCUCAGGACAACGGUUGCACCCCCCGCGGCGGUCCCUGCUAGCCGGACACCGCUGGCAACCCGGCGCCAAGACGUGCGCGCAAGGGCGGGCGCCCGCGGGCGAGCAGCGUGACGCAGCGACGGCCCGCCCGGGCUUCCGGGGCAUCACCCGGUCGGCGCGGUCGCGGCGCGCCGAGGGCCCGACGCCUGGCG